GCGAGUGAAUCUCCUUCGGGAGUGAAGCUAGCGGCGGACGGGUGAGUAACACGUGGGCAACCUGCCUCAUAGAGGGGGAUAGCCUUCCGAAAGGAAGAUUAAUACCGCAUAAGAUUGUAGCUUCGCCAUGAAGUAGCAAUUAAAGGAGCAAUCCGCUAUGAGAUGGGCCCGCGGCGCAUUAGCUAGUUGGUGAGGUAACGGCUCACCAAGGCGACGAUGCGUAGCCGACCUGAGAGGGUGAUCGGCCACAUUGGGACUGAGACACGGCCCAGACUCCUACGGGAGGCAGCAGUGGGGAAUAUUGCACAAUGGGGGAAACCCUGAUGCAGCAACGCCGCGUGAGUGAUGACGACCUUCGGGUUGUAAAGCUCUGUCUUCAGGGACGAUAAUGACGGUACCUGAGGAGGAAGCCACGGCUAACUACGUGCCAGCAGCCGCGGUAAUACGUAGGUGGCGAGCGUUGUCCGGAUUUACUGGGCGUAAAGGGAGCGUAGGCGGACUUUUAAGGGAGAUGUGAAAUACCCGGGCUCAACUUGGGUGCUGCAUUUCAAACUGGAAGUCUAGAGUGCAGGAGAGGAGAAUGGAAUUCCUAGUGUAGCGGUGAAAUGCGUAGAGAUUAGGAAGAACACCAGUGGCGAAGGCGAUUCUCUGGA
Molecule: ribosomal RNA, 653 nt
Filed under: uncultured Clostridium sp.
Lineage: Bacteria; Bacillati; Bacillota; Clostridia; Eubacteriales; Clostridiaceae
Description: bacterial SSU rRNA
Rfam family: Bacterial small subunit ribosomal RNA
Source: RNAcentral